RNAcentral lists this ribosomal RNA (267 nucleotides) under uncultured bacterium. RNAcentral describes it as "partial 16S ribosomal RNA". It matches the Rfam family "Bacterial small subunit ribosomal RNA", at positions 89 to 354 of the family's 1533-position model. The record is from RNAcentral.
UGGCGACCGGCGCACGGGUGAGUAACACGUAUGCAACCUGGCCGCCACAGGGGGAUAACCCGCGGAAACGCGGCCUAAUACCCCGUGACGCCACCGGAGGGCAUCCUCCGGUGGCCAAAGGAGCGAUCCGGUGGCGGAUGGGCAUGCGGCGCAUUAGCUAGACGGCGGGGUGACGGCCCACCGCGGCGACGAUGCGUAGGGGUUCUGAGAGGAAGGCCCCCCACACUGGGACUGAGACACGGCCCAGACUCCUACGGAAGGCAGCAG